UGAAGAGAGUUCGCCUGAGCCAGAACCCAGGUUUCACUGAAGAAACGUCUUACAGAUUCAUUGCACUUCUGAGAUUUAAUGUUUACAACUUGGAGUUGUCGACUUUCUUAUAAGAUACAUUUUGGAAGUCAAAAUGAAAGUUUUCUGUGAAGUUUUAGAACAGUUAUACAAGAAGGUACUUCUUGGAGCCACACUUGAAAAUGACAGCCAUGAUUACACCUUUUAUCUCAACCCAGCAGUUUCAGAUCAAGAUUGCUCUACAGCCUCCUCCUUAGAAUGGGCAAACACCUGUGGUAUCCAGGACAGGCAUCAGCCCAUCUCUGUUGGUGUGGCUCCCAUUGCUGUAGCACCUGCGUGUUUGAAGACCAACUCUCAGAUGAGCAGUUCCAGAGAAGUAAUGCUCCUUCAGUUAACAGUGAUCAAAGUGAUGACAACCCGGAUAUUGUCUGUCAAAACCGAGUUCCAUGCAAAAGAGCAAUACAGAGAUGUAAUUAAAAUUCUCUUAGAAUCAGCCAAAGUCGAUUCUAAAUUAAUCUGUAUGUUCCAAAAUUCAGAUAAAUUGUUAUCUCACAUGGCCGCACAGUGCCUUGCAUUGCUUCUAUAUUUCCAAUUGAGAGAAAAGGCUUUGGUAUCAGGAUGAUGCUGGCCUCAUAAAAUGAGUUAGGGAGGAUUCCCUCUUUUUCUGUUGUUUGGAAUAGUUUCAGAAGGAAUGGUACCAGCUCCUCCUUGUACGUCUGGUAGAAUUCGGCU
RNAcentral lists this small RNA (750 nucleotides) under Pongo abelii (Sumatran orangutan). Its description in RNAcentral is "processed transcript". Lineage: Eukaryota; Metazoa; Chordata; Mammalia; Primates; Hominidae. The record is from RNAcentral.